This 312-nucleotide ribosomal RNA is filed under the name uncultured Glomeromycotina. Its description in RNAcentral is "eukaryotic LSU rRNA". Lineage: Eukaryota; Fungi; Glomeromycota. The record is from RNAcentral.
AUCAGCUUACGCAUCAAGGCAAUUAGCGCAUUGGCGAGCCUAAAAACCGCCAUAGUCGACAUUCAAUUACUUGUGUGGGGUGCAAUGUUGUAUCAGCUGGUUAACAUCAAUUUCGACUGUCACAAAAAGGCUAUAGGGAAACCUUCGGCGGAAUUUGGUGGUCGGGAUUGAGGUUUGCAACGAAUACCUUUAGGGCUGCUCAACUGGUCUGGCCACUCCCUCUUUAGUUAUCAUAUAUGUGAUGCGUUCCGCUAAUUAGGGGUGGUUAGUCAGGUGGUGCAAAUUCGUUAAGGAUGUUAACGAAAUGGCUUU